GACGAACGCUGGCGGCGUGCUUAACACAUGCAAGUCGAGCGGUAAGGCCCUUUCGGGGGUACACGAGCGGCGAACGGGUGAGUAACACGUGGGUGACCUGCCUCUAGCUCUGGGAUAAGCCUGGGAAGCUGGGUCUAAGUACCGGAUAUGACCUCGCGGUGCAUGUUGCGGGGUGAAAGCCUUGUGCGGCUAGGGAUGGGCCCGCGGCCUAUCAGCUUGGUUGGUGGGGUGANGGCCUACCAAGGCGACGACGGGUAGCCGGCCUGAGAGGGCGACCGG
This 279-nucleotide ribosomal RNA is filed under the name uncultured bacterium. RNAcentral describes it as "partial 16S ribosomal RNA". It matches the Rfam family "Bacterial small subunit ribosomal RNA", at positions 28 to 307 of the family's 1533-position model. The record is from RNAcentral.